This 229-nucleotide ribosomal RNA is filed under the name Goniopora somaliensis. Its description in RNAcentral is "partial 28S rRNA". It matches the Rfam family "Eukaryotic large subunit ribosomal RNA", at positions 1 to 221 of the family's 3401-position model. The record is from RNAcentral. Lineage: Eukaryota; Metazoa; Cnidaria; Anthozoa; Scleractinia; Poritidae.
AUCUUGACCUCAGAUCAGGCAAGGCUACCCGCUGAAUUUAAGCAUAUUAAUAAGCGGAGGAAAAGAAACUAACAAGGAUUCCCUCAGUAACAGCGAGUGAAGCGGGAACAGCUCAAAUUUGAAAUCUCCGRCGCUUGCGUCGGCGAGUUGUAGUUGCGAGAAGCACUUUCUAGGCGGAUCGGUGGUGCYUAAGUUGCUUGGAACAGUACGUCAUAGAGGGUGACAACCC